UACGUAGGUGGCAAGCGUUGUCCGGAAUUAUUGGGCGUAAAGCGCGCGCAGGCGGUCCUUUAAGUCUGAUGUGAAAGCCCACGGCUCAACCGUGGAGGGUCAUUGGAAACUGGGGGACUUGAGUGCAGGAGAGAAGAGUGGAAUUCCACGUGUAGCGGUGAAAUGCGUAGAGAUGUGGAGGAACACCAGUGGCGAAGGCGGCCGGCUGGGGGUGACCUGACGCUGAGGCGCGAAAGCGUGGGGAGCGAACCGG
This 253-nucleotide ribosomal RNA is filed under the name uncultured bacterium. RNAcentral describes it as "partial 16S ribosomal RNA". It matches the Rfam family "Bacterial small subunit ribosomal RNA", at positions 524 to 776 of the family's 1533-position model. The record is from RNAcentral.